This is a long non-coding RNA of Myripristis murdjan (pinecone soldierfish), 960 nucleotides long. RefSeq lists it as uncharacterized. The record is from RefSeq and is a predicted model, not a curated record. The transcript has 3 exons. NCBI's taxonomy places the organism in Eukaryota, Metazoa, Chordata, Actinopteri, Holocentriformes, Holocentridae.
GCACGAGAAAGCAUUGGAUGCGCGCGCAUGCCUAUAUGACACGUCCUUCCGCUCCACGGCGUCAGCCACCACAUAAACCUCCGGUUUGCGGCUACCGCAACAGCAGCAGCUGCUUUUUUCACCCGCUCCCUCCUUGAUCUCCCUAAAAUUACUGUGACAGACGUUAACCGAAUCAUUCAGGCUAAUUCCGCCACAGCCAGCAAGGGAAAGGACAAAGGAUUUACACUCUACGUGUCAAAUUACGUCCAUAACUAUGAAGUUUCAAACAAGGCGUGUGUGGCCGGCCCCGCCCUGUGGAACCACGUAGCAGCUCUCUUGUACCAGACUGCCCACUACUCCCAGAAGAAGCUCACCUCUGUCCCACCAGUGCACAGCUGCACAGAGUCAGAACAGAGGUGGCACAAGCCAAGAACCAUGGAGUAACCAUUGCAUCCUUCAUAUGGUUAAGUGCAAAGCUAGUCAACUCUAUCCUUACCACAGAGAAGAUGAGAAAGUUCAAAUAUCAGCGAACAUCUGGUACAACUGCUGAACACUGUUGUGUGUCUUUAUGCCAGACUACUACAUGCUGGAAGUGUACCAUAUUAAUUUGUCUAGCUUUGUACUAGAACAUAGAAGUCUGUGGAUGGACAACAACCAUAAUUUGUGUGCGUUUGGAGAAUAGUUUCAAUGCAAUCACAUGACAUCACUGUUUCUUUCAUUGUCAUCUGUAUGUUCACCUACUAAGGAUAUUUCAUUGUUAACUUUGAAUUAACUACUAUUUGUUGAAAUACUUGUUUCUUUUUCAACUGAUGUGUAUGUUUUACUUAAUGUAACUUCAACUUUACUGCUUUUUGUGUUAACAUUUUGGUACUUUGACAUAAACACUUUGGUAUCAAGGCCUGUCAUAUUUUCUCAUUACUUCAUUUUAAAAUAUGCACAUAUUUGUAUAUUUGAUAGACAACUAAUCAACACCAGCCAUUU